RNAcentral lists this ribosomal RNA (318 nucleotides) under Clostridioides difficile. RNAcentral describes it as "bacterial LSU rRNA". It matches the Rfam family "Bacterial large subunit ribosomal RNA", at positions 1894 to 2211 of the family's 2925-position model. Lineage: Bacteria; Bacillati; Bacillota; Clostridia; Peptostreptococcales; Peptostreptococcaceae. The record is from RNAcentral.
AGCAAUCGAAGCAGUGAACUUAAGCCCCAGUAAACGGCGGCCGUAACUAUAACGGUCCUAAGGUAGCGAAAUUCCUUGUCGGGUAAGUUCCGACCCGCACGAAAGGCGUAACGAUUUGGGCACUGUCCCAACAACAGACUCGGUGAAAUUGUAAUUCCGGUGAAGAUGCCGGAUACCUGCGACAGGACGGAAAGACCCCAUGGAGCUUUACUGUAGCUUGACAUUGGGUCUUGGUACUACAUGUACAGGAUAGGUGGGAGGCUUUGAAACCAGGACGCCAGUUUUGGCGGAGCCAUCCUUGGGAUACCACCCUUGUAG